RNAcentral lists this ribosomal RNA (829 nucleotides) under uncultured bacterium. RNAcentral describes it as "bacterial SSU rRNA". It matches the Rfam family "Bacterial small subunit ribosomal RNA", at positions 78 to 904 of the family's 1533-position model. The record is from RNAcentral.
GCUUGCUUCAAUUGCCGGCGACCGGCGCACGGGUGAGUAACGCGUAUCCAACCUUCCGUACACUCAGGGAUAGCCUUUCGAAAGAAAGAUUAAUACCUGAUGGUAUGAUGAGAUUGCAUGAUAGCAUCAUUAAAGAUUCAUCGGUGUACGAUGGGGAUGCGUUCCAUUAGGUAGUAGGCGGGGUAACGGCCCACCUAGCCGACGAUGGAUAGGGGUUCUGAGAGGAAGGUCCCCCACAUUGGAACUGAGACACGGUCCAAACUCCUACGGGAGGCAGCAGUGAGGAAUAUUGGUCAAUGGACGAGAGUCUGAACCAGCCAAGUAGCGUGAAGGAUGAAGGUCCUACGGAUUGUAAACUUCUUUUAUAAGGGAAUAAAACCUCCCACGUGUGGGAGCUUGUAUGUACCUUAUGAAUAAGCAUCGGCUAACUCCGUGCCAGCAGCCGCGGUAAUACGGAGGAUGCGAGCGUUAUCCGGAUUUAUUGGGUUUAAAGGGAGCGCAGACGGGUCGUUAAGUCAGCUGCGAAAGUUUGGGGCUCAACCUUAAAAUUGCAGUUGAUACUGGCGUCCUUGAGUGCGGUUGAGGUGUGCGGAAUUCGUGGUGUAGCGGUGAAAUGCUUAGAUAUCACGAAGAACUCCGAUUGCGAAGGCAGCACACUAAGCCGUAACUGACGUUCAUGCUCGAAAGUGUGGGUAUCAAACAGGAUUAGAUACCCUGGUAGUCCACACGGUAAACGAUGGAUACUCGCUGUUGGCGAUAUACAGUCAGCGGCUUAGCGAAAGCGUUAAGUAUCCCACCUGGGGAGUACGCCGGCAACGGUGAAACUCAA